This 604-nucleotide ribosomal RNA is filed under the name Streptococcus mutans. RNAcentral describes it as "bacterial SSU rRNA". It matches the Rfam family "Bacterial small subunit ribosomal RNA", at positions 375 to 971 of the family's 1533-position model. Lineage: Bacteria; Bacillati; Bacillota; Bacilli; Lactobacillales; Streptococcaceae. The record is from RNAcentral.
ACGAAAGUCUGACCGAGCAACGCCGCGUGAGUGAAGAAGGUUUUCGGAUCGUAAAGCUCUGUUGUAAGUCAAGAACGUGUGUGAGAGUGGAAAGUUCACACAGUGACGGUAGCUUACCAGAAAGGGACGGCUAACUACGUGCCAGCAGCCGCGGUAAUACGUAGGUCCCGAGCGUUGUCCGGAUUUAUUGGGCGUAAAGGGAGCGCAGGCGGUCAGGAAAGUCUGGAGUAAAAGGCUAUGGCUCAACCAUAGUGUGCUCUGGAAACUGUCUGACUUGAGUGCAGAAGGGGAGAGUGGAAUUCCAUGUGUAGCGGUGAAAUGCGUAGAUAUAUGGAGGAACACCAGUGGCGAAAGCGGCUCUCUGGUCUGUCACUGACGCUGAGGCUCGAAAGCGUGGGUAGCGAACAGGAUUAGAUACCCUGGUAGUCCACGCCGUAAACGAUGAGUGCUAGGUGUUAGGCCCUUUCCGGGGCUUAGUGCCGGAGCUAACGCAAUAAGCACUCCGCCUGGGGAGUACGACCGCAAGGUUGAAACUCAAAGGAAUUGACGGGGGCCCGCACAAGCGGUGGAGCAUGUGGUUUAAUUCGAAGCACGCGAAGAACCU